This 775-nucleotide long non-coding RNA is filed under the name Bemisia tabaci. RNAcentral's name for it is "lncRNA ENSSSA1NGG005741". The record is from RNAcentral. Lineage: Eukaryota; Metazoa; Arthropoda; Insecta; Hemiptera; Aleyrodidae.
AUGAGUAUUUCAGCAGCAACUUUUAAAAUCAGCAAUGGAUUCUGCAAUUCUUGUAACCCACCACUUUCUCAGAUCGACCAAGCGGAAACAUGGCGAGGAUCAUCGCGCCCUGAUAAUAAGACCACACUCUUUCCAGAAUUUACUCCUUUUUUCAGAGAAAAAGGACAUAGUAAGUGGCAAAACAUUAGACAUCAGAAAGCAGCUAAUGAUUUACAAAAGUCGAAGAUCUUCAAUAUGUUAAUACUCCAGAUUAAAAAAGCAAUCCUUGAUGGAGGUAGCAACAACCCAGACCAUAACUCUACCCUAGCUAAUGUGGUUGCCACUUGUAAGAGAGUUAAUAUGCCUGCAUCUACAAUUCAAAGUGCUCUCCAAGGACAUAAGGUAGAACUAAAAAAACCUACAGAAUUCAUUCCAUUUUCAAAGAACUUCACACCAAGGCCUUUUCUUUCAACUUGCUAAGUAUGUUCCACUUCCAAAACUGAGUUCAGUGACGGGAAAGUAUUCAGCCAGCAGGGCAGGUAUUGAAUCCAGAACUAUUGAAGUGAUACCCUCUGAACUUUAUGAACUACUGUUUGAUACCGAAGAUGAAAUGACAAGCAUUAAGUAACUUGCUGUAGUAGGGGUAUCUUAAGGAAACAAAUCAUAGAAAUCUAAAUUAAAAAUAACUUCUUGAGUGUAAAUGGGCAAACGAAAGAGGAAUUAUUGCUCAUAAACUUCGUAAUUAUUGUUUGAAAGCGCUUUUCUUGUAGAGUUUAGGGAAACACUGAAAUUGAUU